GAGGGGUGUGACCCCAUGCUCCCUGGGGGGGUGUGACCCCGUGCUCCCUGGGGGGUGUGAUGCCGUGCUCCCU
RNAcentral lists this microRNA precursor (73 nucleotides) under Macaca fascicularis (crab-eating macaque). Its description in RNAcentral is "mir-3689 microRNA precursor family". It matches the Rfam family "mir-3689 microRNA precursor family". RNAcentral also lists the same sequence under 1 other name. The record is from Rfam by way of RNAcentral. Lineage: Eukaryota; Metazoa; Chordata; Mammalia; Primates; Cercopithecidae.